AAGGGCUUUAAUGCCUCACACCUCUGAGGCGUCAUCUGCUAAAGGAAGGUAUCCACAUCUACUAGCGUUUCGUUUGGAGCCCUGGCUCAGCAGGUUGGCGGUCACCCCUUGAUCCUGGAAUCCCAGCAUGCCUUGCCAUCGGUGUUUGGGGUCGCAAGCCAGGCUUUGGUCCCUGGUGACAUAUGUGCUAGACAGGACCUUUUCUAAAGCACCGUCACUAAUUUAAAGACCUAAAUACCAUUAACUAACACUGGAGACCGUAUAACCAUAAUCUUUUUACGUUCUUAAGUGCUUCUGUUUUCGCAGUCUUAAAGGGCAAAGGCAACACAAGGCGAAUGUUAAUGUAUUACAUCAGUGGUCGUACUUUACUUCUUAUGACUGUCUAUUAAAUGCAUUUUAGUAAGCGCAUUUAUCAAAAUGUCACGAGUAACACAGUCCCCGUAACCUUUAAUAAUGUUGACAUGAUUCAUGGUAAUGGUGCUGUCUUCCAAUCCAAUUAUUUUAGUGAUUACUAGCACACGCUUGGCUCACCACAUACACUUCCUUAAGUUAUCAGGACACUAAUUGGUUAACAAGAUAUUGCAUUUUGCAGUCUUCUCCUUGGUCCUUGGGGAUUUCUCACCAUGCCAUCUGCUCAGAGCUAAUAGGAGAUAUAACGUUUCUGUAUCUCAGCAGCACACGGGCAUACGUUAACAUUACAGAUCCGAGAUGUUUCGAGUCAAAUGGAGUAAAGUCUGAUGCCUGAGUUUGUUUUUGUUUUUUUUAAUCAGAGCAAGAACUCACAUGUUUUAUGUACUUUGAGAGCUGUCCAGUGAAGAAUCAAUCUAGUGGAAACAUUAUUAUAGCAAUGUCAAACCACUAGGCCUUGUUUCAUGAUCUACGGGAGUAUUAAAUGUCUCCAUAAAACACAUCACGUAUCCUAAGCAGCAUGAUAUUUACAGCUUUUAGUGAGGUCUCAGGGCCUCAUAAAUUACAUUGAAAAGAACAUCCUGAAAUGAACAGGGUAUAUGAUUGCGCUUAGUCAACUAGUCCGUUUAUGCAUGGUUUAAAUCUCAGCUAAGCUCUGUCCUUGGUUAAGAGGAAUCAAGAUAACUUGCCAUGAUCAGAAACUACUUAAAAUGACCUUGCCAUUAAUGGAUGUUCAGGUUAUAACAGGGCUCUUGUGUGCAACUUGAAAUCUGUGCCUAUACUGACUGCAGAGAUUACGACCAUUUCAGUGGGAUUUCAUAAGAGCAGUGCACAUCCUUCAUGAGGAAUGGCCCAUAACAAGCUAUUAUCUCCUUCUCCUCUUGCUUUCACCAACAACCAGAAUGGAAUAUUACAAAUGGCUUGUGACAGGUGAGAUUCGCCACGGUGUUUACCACACUGAAUAUGUCAGCCUUUAACACAGUCUCUUGGCUUCCCUCAUAGCAAUGACAGCUUACUUGACAUUUACGCACUCCGAUUCCCGUCGGCUAAUAGCUACGCCUCAUCUCCCCAGGGUUCGGCAAGCAGGCCAACCGAUAACAAACCUGUCAGGACAGCUUCAGCAGGAAGAUAAAUUCUACGCCACGGUGCGCUAAAUGGAAGGCGCCACGGCAGCUGAUUAGGUCCUUAUCAGGGGUGCUUUGGCGCGAGCGUCUUUUUUCUCCCAUUUCACAUCUCUCCAAGGAGUCGACAUCAAAGGAGAUCACUGAGGUUGCUCUGGUUAGCCUGUCAGCUGUAUUUGAAGGAACGUGGUGGGAGGAUAGAAGCGGAG
Molecule: long non-coding RNA, 1738 nt
Organism: Ictalurus punctatus (channel catfish)
Lineage: Eukaryota; Metazoa; Chordata; Actinopteri; Siluriformes; Ictaluridae
Source: Ensembl